GACAAAGCAAAAGUUUAUUUCAUUAAUAAUUCUAUAAGAUAUACUGGUUCGGCAAAUAAGAACAAGCCAUCUCGAGGUGUAAACUUCACACACGAUGCUACAUAUAUGGAUCACAUGUCGUUGAAGAAAAGCACGACAACCCUGGUCUUUACUCUCCUAACAGGCAUCUCAACUACUCUAACCGGCUCAAGGACACAAAACAAAGGACACUGAAAGCAAAUACUGAAACUGACAUGUUUAAACAUUCAAAUUGUAAAUAA
Molecule: long non-coding RNA, 260 nt
Filed under: Linum usitatissimum (flax)
Lineage: Eukaryota; Viridiplantae; Streptophyta; Magnoliopsida; Malpighiales; Linaceae
Description: long non-coding RNA (LUSI_LNC008114)
Source: RNAcentral